Molecule: ribosomal RNA, 546 nt
Filed under: Globicephala macrorhynchus (short-finned pilot whale)
Lineage: Eukaryota; Metazoa; Chordata; Mammalia; Artiodactyla; Delphinidae
Description: partial 16S ribosomal RNA
Rfam family: Bacterial large subunit ribosomal RNA
Source: RNAcentral
CACCUCUAGCAUAACUAGUAUUAGAGGCACUGCCUGCCCAGUGACAAUCGUUAAACGGCCGCGGUAUCUUGACCGUGCAAAGGUAGCAUAAUCACUUGUUCUCUAAAUAAGGACUUGUAUGAAUGGCCACACGAGGGUUUUACUGUCUCUUACUCCUAAUCAGUGAAAUUGACCUCCCCGUGAAGAGGCGGGGAUGACACAAUAAGACGAGAAGACCCUAUGGAGCUUUAAUUAAUCAACUCAAAAAGCAUAAAACAAUACCACCAAGGGAUAACAAAACUUUAUAUGAGCUGACAAUUUCGGUUGGGGUGACCUCGGAGUAUAAAAAACCCUCCGAGUGAUUAAAACUUAGGCCUACUAGCCAAAGUACAGUAUCACAUAUUGAUCCAAAAUUUUGAUCAACGGAACAAGUUACCCUAGGGAUAACAGCGCAAUCCUAUUCUAGAGUCCAUAUCGACAAUAGGGUUUACGACCUCGAUGUUGGAUCAGGACAUCCUAAUGGUGCAGCAGCUAUUAAGGGUUCGUUUGUUCAACGAUUAAAGUCCU